GGUUGUGUAUCAUUCGAGAUUU
This 22-nucleotide microRNA is filed under the name Callorhinchus milii (elephant shark). RNAcentral describes it as "eshark_mir-467_2". Lineage: Eukaryota; Metazoa; Chordata; Chondrichthyes; Chimaeriformes; Callorhinchidae. The record is from RNAcentral.